RNAcentral lists this unclassified non-coding RNA (433 nucleotides) under soil metagenome. Its description in RNAcentral is "partial contains 5.8S ribosomal RNA, internal transcribed spacer 2, and large subunit ribosomal RNA". The stretch from base 1 to 120 matches the Rfam family "5.8S ribosomal RNA", at positions 35 to 154 of the family's 154-position model. The record is from RNAcentral.
GAUGAAGAACGUAGCGAAAUGCGAUACGUAAUGUGAAUUGCAGAAUUCAGUGAAUCAUCGAAUCUUUGAACGCAUAUUGCGCUCUCUGGUAUUCCGGAGAGCAUGCUUGUUUGAGUAUCAGUAAACACCUCAACUUCCAUAUCUUUUUUGAAAUGGGAGUUGGACUUGAGUGAUCCCAACGCUUUUCCUCACCGAAAAGUGGCGGGUUACUUGAAAUGCAGGUGCAGCUGGACAUUUCUCUGAGCUAUAAGCAUAUCUAUUUAGUCUGCCUAAAAAACAGAUUAUUACCUUUGCUGCAGCUAACAUAAAGGAGAUUAGUUCUUGUGCUGACUGAUGCAGGAUUCACAAAGACAGGCUUCGGCCGACUUUGUAAACUCGAUCUCAAAUCAAGUAAGACUACCCGCUGAACUUAAGCAUAUCAAUAAGCGGAGGA